AGAGAGAAUGUGAUGGGAGAUAAGACUGAAAAGUUGAAGAUCAGAAUUGAAACGUUUUGAAGAAAUUGUCAUCAUUUUAAAGGCAGUAGGAACUACUGGUUUGUGAGAAAGAGGAGUUAAUAUGAUCACACCUUUGUUUUAUGAGGGUCACUGACAGUGGGAUCAGGUCUGGUUAGACAAGGCAUGGAGAUUGGUGACUGGGAAGCCAGAUACUUUGUUCAUAUUGAGAAUGGAAAAUUGGGGACUCAGAUUGCCAUAACGUAAGUGAAGUUGCCAAGAUUAGCAUUUGGGGCCAGUUGGUCAGCACACAAGAGAUUGUGCAGGGAAAAUAUAUUCAGUGUAUUUUACAGUUUGUACAUCACAGUUCAUGACAGAACACACUUCAGGUAUGGCAUCCGCUUGCCACUUAAUAUUUCAGGAGUGGAAGGAAAGGAAAGAUUGCUCCCUAACUGCCUGUAGACCUCUCCAGUCUUGUAGUCCCUUUCCUCGUGAGGUCUGCGUCAUCCCCUUGUGUGGUCUGUGCACCAUUUUCACUAGUGUCCUUUUGUGGACAGAGGGAAAAGAUAGGGGAUUCCUGUUGGAUGUAACAUAAGUAAGACUGUUAGUGUUACCCGGACAGGUGGGGGCAUAGUUGUGAUUGCUGAGGAUUGAGUGAGUAGUGAAGCAGUAGUAAAAACAGUACUUUCCAAAAGUUGGCAGGAAAUACAAAGAAUCAUGACAAUGUCUUGAGGGGUAGACUGAGGGGUCAGAACACGUUAAAAGGGAGAAUUUAAAAGCACAUGUGCCUCGAUGAGACAAGGUCCUGGAGAGGGUGGGAUCUACUGAAUCCUGUGGAUCCAGACUAGCCUGAGCUCCAGAUGGAGAGAGUGGGUGAUCUUGGACAAGUUUCAGCUUUGCUGAGCCUGGUGCUGCUGCAUCUGUCACAGGAUGGGAGAUAGUCUGUCACAGGGCUGCUGAAAUGAUUUACUUCGUGUACUUUUAUCAAAAUAAUUAGUGUAAAGCAAAUAUAAUUGUUGACUUUAGCCUUGGAAAGGAAUAGAAAUGGUUUAAGAUAAUGGAGAAAUGUUGCAGAGAAAGGGAGGAAUUUUGUGUGGUCCCCCAUCUGAGAACUUAUAUACAUGCUGACCCCCAAGUCAUCCUCGUCAUCCCUAGUAGUCCCAAUUUUCAUGUGGUUGGUAAGAAUAAUUCUCACUUGAGAGACAUGCCUCAAAAUCAGUAUUGAGGGUUGUUGCUGUUGUUUUUUCUGAGAAGUAGAAUUAAACAUUGUUUUGAUUCUAUUUCAUAUAUCAUUCCUGCCAUUCAGCUCAUUCCAGCUGAACCUCCUCCAUGGCAUAUACUUUAUUACAUCUUUGUGCACAUUACUCCCGCCAUUUGCCCAUUUGAAAUCCUCAUUGCUGAAGGCCCACGUUUGAUAAUUUCUCCUCUGAUAAACUUUCUCUGCAAGGACUUUUUAUUUCAUGUCCCCAUUGCAUGUUUCCUUUAAUUUAUUCGUUCAUGCACUCCCCAUUUUGUUCCACAGAGAAUACAAGACAACAACGUGCUGUAUGUCUUUUCCUUUUGUUCUGUGAGGGCAUCCUGUGUGCUAAUCUACUGAUGCUUCGCCUUGGAAUCCCUUGGAUGGAAAAGCCUGUCUUACUCCUAGAUCACGAUGACUGGGAAGUAGGCAUUCAAUCAAUAUUGGUCUGGCUGCCUUGGAGAACUAAAUACCAAAUCCUCCACCGGGAGCAGCGACAAAUGGGAGACAGCGUGCAGCAAAGAAUGAGAUCACGGAGCCUGGUUAUGUGGACUCCAUUCUGAAGCCUGUUUACUGUGUGGAGUGAACACGGUUCAUGCCUGGUCUGUUAUUCCACCAGCCAGGCCCAUCCUGUGGAGCUCUGGCCCAGGCCUGGGCUGUGUGUGGCGGCAGCCACGGAAAGGUUUUCUUGAAGGAUUUACCCCCGUGGAGCCUUGAAGUCUGAGGAUGAACUGGAGGACGAAGGUAAGCAGGCAGGGAAGGGAGAGGGGUUAGCACCAGCUCGAGGGGAAUUUGCAAGGGAGAUGGGCACAGUCUGAGGCGUCUGUACCUGGAGGACAGAGAACAGGCACUACCUAUCACCUUGGCUCACCUUUCCUUUAGAGGCACACCUUGUCACCCUGCACACUCCCGGGGUGCAGAAGCAGGGAGUGCAGCACCCUUGCUGAGCUCUGACUCACAGGCUCUGGCUUUGGAGCAGAGCUAGAGUCAAGGGAAGGAAAGCAGGUUACAGGGGAAGGCCUGAGAGGAAUUCCAGGACAGACACAAGCUGCAGAGGCCCAGGUGGCCCAGAGAGGGAGCAAGCAGUGAGGUAAGCCAUCCUGCCCAGAGCACGGAAGAUGGAGCUGAGAGCACAGACAUGUGGCUAAGUCCAGCUUCAAUGACCAUGGCAACAGCUCCUCUGGGACCUUUGCACCCCACUUCUGAAGGCCCCAUGCCAUUCCACCCAUGGAACACCUUGAGGACUCCCAACCCUGCGAGAAACAGGAGAGGUCGGCACUACCUUCUUCGAGUCUUAAAAUUCAAGAAGAAAGACAUCAUUUUAGACUUGGGCCUGCUGGGUUUGCCAAAGAAAACUCCAUUGUCAGCAGACACUUGAUGGGGCGAAGGAGCUGACGACCCACUCCUGUGAGACAUGAGGGACUUGCUGCGCCUGGCUCCUAGGAACUGACCUGACUACAAGACACAUGACUGUGGGCAGGACUCAAACUUCACCGAGCCCUGGUGUCUCACCCUGAAAAUGCAGGGGACGGCCUUCCACCUAUGCACUGUAGCUACGAUGGACCAAGGAGACCACGUGUGCACAGCAUACCACCUGGCACGUGGUGUACCUGAAGCAAAUAUCCAUUCCCUGCCCCAUCCAGGAUGAGGCCUGGGCCUUCACCCUCAACCACUGAACACAGAGCAUGGAGAAGGGCUGAAGUCUGGAAGAAGAGAAGGAUGCCCACUUUCACUACUUCGAUAUAGUACUGCAAGUCCUAGACACAGCAAUCAGACAAGGAAAAGAAAUAAAAGGUAUUCACAUUGGUAGAGAGGAGGUAAAGUUAUUAUUUGCAGAUGACAUGAUACUAUAUAUAGAAAACCCUAGGGCUUCCCUGGUGGCGCAGUGGUUGAGAGUCCGCCUGCCGAUGCAGGGGACAC
Molecule: long non-coding RNA, 3154 nt
Organism: Aethalodelphis obliquidens (Pacific white-sided dolphin)
Lineage: Eukaryota; Metazoa; Chordata; Mammalia; Artiodactyla; Delphinidae
Exons: 6
Source: RefSeq, a predicted model, not a curated record